This 373-nucleotide ribosomal RNA is filed under the name uncultured bacterium. Its description in RNAcentral is "bacterial SSU rRNA". It matches the Rfam family "Bacterial small subunit ribosomal RNA", at positions 521 to 896 of the family's 1533-position model. The record is from RNAcentral.
UAAUACGGAGGGUGCAAGCGUUAUCCGGAUUCACUGGGUUUAAAGGGUGCGUAGGCGGGCUUGUAAGUCAGUGGUGAAAGCCCGGGGCUUAACUCCGGAACUGCCGUUGAUACUGCAAGCCUUGAGUACAGUUGAGGUGGGCGGAAUACAUCAUGUAGAGGUGAAAUUCUUAGAUAUGAUGUAGAACACCGAUUGCGAAGGCAGCUCACUAAAGUGUAACUGACGCUGAGGCACGAAAGCGUGGGGAUCAAACAGGAUUAGAUACCCUGGUAGUCCACGCCCUAAACGAUGUUCACUCGACAUUAGCGAUAUACUGUUAGUGUCUAAGCAAAAGCGUUAAGUGAACCACCUGGGGAGUACGUCCGCAAGGAUG